Molecule: ribosomal RNA, 701 nt
Filed under: uncultured bacterium
Lineage: Bacteria
Description: bacterial SSU rRNA
Rfam family: Bacterial small subunit ribosomal RNA
Source: RNAcentral
GGGGGCUUCGGCCCCUGAGUACAGCGGCGGACGGGUGAGUAACACGUGGGUUAUCUGCCCUCGGGUGGGGAAUAACUCAGGGAAACCUGGGCUAAUUCCGCAUGAUAUCUCCUUCCCAUACGGGUUGGAGAUCAAAGCUGGGGACCCUUCGGGGCCUGGCGCCUGAGGAGGAGCCCGCGGCCAAUUAGCUUGUUGGUGAGGUAAUGGCUCACCAAGGCAACGAUUGGUAGCCGGCCUGAGAGGGCGGACGGCCACACUGGGACUGAGACACGGCCCAGACUCCUACGGGAGGCAGCAGUGGGGAAUUUUUGUCAAUGGGGGAAACCCUGAACAAGCAACGCCGCGUGAAGGACGAAGACCUUCGGGUUGUAAACUUCUGUCGGAGGGGACGAAAGCGGUCGAGGUUAAUACCCCCGAUCGUUGACGGUACCCUACGAGGAAGCCCCGGCUAACUCCGUGCCAGCAGCCGCGGUAAUACGGGGGGGGCAAGCGUUGUUCGGAAUUACUGGGCGUAAAGGGCGCGCAGGCGGAUGGGAAAGUCUCUCGUGAAAGCCCACGGCUCAACCGUGGAAUUGCGGGAGAUACUGCUCGUCUUGAGUCCGGGAGAGGAGUGUGGAAUUCCCAGUGUAGCGGUGAAAUGCGUAGAUAUUGGGAGGAACACCGGUGGCGAAGGCGGCACUCUGGACCGGUACUGACGCUGA